Molecule: non-coding RNA, 79 nt
Organism: Caenorhabditis elegans
Lineage: Eukaryota; Metazoa; Nematoda; Chromadorea; Rhabditida; Rhabditidae
Source: Ensembl
CUGCCAUUUCCGAUGCAUAAGUAUGGCUUCCCGCGAAAGAUUAUCGCAGUUUAUCCGCGGAUGACAUCCGGGCAAACGG